This 7404-nucleotide long non-coding RNA is filed under the name Gallus gallus (chicken). Its description in RNAcentral is "lncRNA (ENSGALG00010002822.1)". The record is from RNAcentral. Lineage: Eukaryota; Metazoa; Chordata; Aves; Galliformes; Phasianidae.
AAAAAAAAAACCCAAACCAAAACUGCUGUUAUCUCUUAUUUGUGUUCUCUCUGCUCUCCUAGCUUUGGUGUCUGCCAUUCAUGUGUCUGUAUCAGUCAGCUUCUCCACUGGACAUCAUACCUAAGUCAGCUACCACAGUCACCUUCUGAUCUAUAGAUCUGGUUUUCUCCUGAUGAUGGUGGCUGAAAGUUAUGUAGCGCUUGUUGGUUAAAUUAUGUUGUAGCAGCUGCCUCGAAGACUUCUCCUAAAUGAGGAGUUUCUAUUGUACACUGAAAAUCAUCCUUAAUGCAUGAGUAAGCCUGAUGAACAGAUAGAUCUGAAAAACAUUGACUCAAAAUAAAUCCUUCUUGGAAGAGGAGUAAUUGUUGACUAAUUCCCGUGGGAGAGAGAUGUGAGUUUCUUGCAGGCUCUUUGAACAACAGGACUUCAAAGAGGAUCAGCAAAAAGGAGGCAGCUACCUUCCAAGAAAUGCCUACAAGGAAGAAAAUAAUGGUCCUGGUGCCAUAGGCUGAAGCAUACGUAACCCAUAAAUCCUCAACUGACAUAAUAGCUCCUGAGGCAUUUUCUUCAGAAGGAAGAGGAGAACAUGCUAUGAGGCAAAGUAACAGCUGGUGCAGUGCCAGGUGACAGCAAAUCCUGCUGAUGAGUAUACUGGCUUCGAGUGACCCUUCAUUAACAGCAUGCAUGGAGGGAGAACCUGUGGGUAGCUCGUCUCUGCCUUCAGACAUGAUUAUUCAUCGUGCGGCGACACGGAGAGUUCUCUGGCAGGAGUCAGACGUUACCUCUGCAGGAAUGGGGACUGCUCGUGGGAGCUGACGUCAGCACUCAGUGCAGUGAGGGUGUCAUUCCUUGUGCAAGACGAUGCUAUGCUGAACCUUUCUAGCCUGGUCAAUUUGAAAAUGCAUUCAAACCCAGAUAGCGAAGGACCACAGGCAUCUCUUGUCUUGUAGCUGGAAACACAGCAAAGCUUUACAAAAUGGACAUACUGGUUUUCUUUUUUUCUGAAUGGUUGCACUUAAAUCAGAACUCAGUGAUGUGUGCAUCUGCCAACACCAAACAAUACACCGUUUGUAGGUUUCUGUUUUCACAUGUCUAGCAAGGUUUGUAUUGAUCAAAUUUCACACUCAUAACGUCAAAGAAGCCAGAUUAUUUCACUGGAAUAAAAAUCAGUGCUUACAGACUUGUUGGAAAUAUUUUUAAAUUACCUUUCUCUUUUUACUGGCAUACAAAUUUUAAAGGAAGGUACGUUGCUUGUUUCUUCACUGAUAGAUUCAGAGGCAGUAUGUAUGGUUAGUAAUAAUUGUUUGGCAAGCCAAGCUGACUCCAAUGUUUGUUUUCGCAAUCCUUUCUACUGAAACCAACAUUGCUUUUCAGUCAGCUCUGUAUCUUAAACACAAUGUGUUGUGCACACAGGGCAAGGUGUGCCCCAUGACCCUGCCAGUUAUUCUGUGCAUGAUCAUAUUGCACUUAUCUAUCGUGGGAGAUUUGAAAAGCUUUCUCUCUGGGCCAUUGGAGGAAACCUUGUACUUUUGUAGCCUGACCGUGACAGAAAUCUGUAAGAUGAGAAGGUUUGCCAUGCCUAAGGUUAGUUCUGCUGCAGUAAGUCUUCCCGACAUCCAACAAUGCCAGAGAAAGCAUAGUUUCUGUUUGUGGAGAUUAAUUACUAUUGUGAAGGCAACUAAAAAUGAAAAGUGUGGGGUUUAUGGCAGUUUUAUUUUUAUUGCUGCUAUUAGUAGCUUCAAUUGCAGUCUGUAAGUAAAGUGGUGAGUUCUCAGGGAAUUUGUCAAGAGCAAGGACUGGUAGGUUAGAUCAAAAUGUGGUUUGUAGGAAGGGGAAUAUGGAAAGCAUUUCCUGUUUUUCAGCUGGCAUGGAUCUGCUUGAGCAAGACAUACUCUGCUAAAUUCAUCAAGCUGUUGUCCCAGACCCUGUAACAUGUGGCUCCAGCAGUGCCUUUACUCAGUUCGUAGCCUGGUGGAAAUGUCACAUCUGCCAAUCCUUACCACACAAUACAAAUGAGAAAAUACUUAAUCUUCAUACUUUAUGUGAGACCUCCUGGCUCUUUCCUUGUUGAGGGUGAGGACCACUCUCACUUUCUAUUAAAAGAAGGAACCAUGCUACCAAUCCUGUUGUUAUAUAAACCAAAUGUUGUUAUAUAAAUAAUUAUUCUGAAAUAUUUCAGUUCUGGCAUUUUUUUCUGGUGAUUUAUGGUGUUUUUAACCAAAGCAAUGAACAGAAAUUAAUACAAAGCUGUAUUAAAUUUAGUCAGAAAAAAUCAUGCAGCUUUUCAGUGUUCUAUUUAUCCUGCUAGUGUAGAUUUUUCUUCAAAAUAUAUGGCUCAAAUCUGCCCAGUUCUGCUUAACUCCGUCUUUUUUUCUCUCUCAGUUCUCCUGCUCCUUGACUAGAACCCAUCCUGACACACAAGCCAGGGCAAAUGCUUUUCAUUGCACACCCCAUGCUAGCGCUAUUUGUGUUCCUGAAUGUGAUCACUAGAAGCUUGCUUUGUCUCUUACUGCGAGAUGCAUGUUGGCAUUUCUUUAGAAAACCUGUGAAUACCACAGAGGCUCAAGGUGGACUUAAAGAUGCUCAAGGUCACAAAACAGAUUUAACAGCGUGACUGUACUGUUCAAGCAUAAGCAUUGUAGCCCUUCAUUCAGAGUGAUUUUGCUGCAGAGCAAGUUGGGCUGAACGAACCACUGGAGGUUGUUUGCAUGGAACUGCAACCGCAGACAAGAAGAUGGUUCUCUGAGGGCAUUACCAGCAUUUUCCUUGAAACAUUUGCUUCUUCAUGGAAACUUCCAUCUAUUAGCUUAGCUUGUUAGUUGUAAAGCCCUAUGGUUUGCUAAUCUUCUUCCUUCCUUAGCUUUUCAUUUCUUCAAAGUAGUGGUUACAGACUGGAACCUGCAAAGUGCUGAGCGCUGUAUUCCACAUCAAGCAAAACUCUUAAUGUUAAUCAUGCUCUGAAAAAUGCUGCCAGAUUAGAGCUAAAUCUUUACACAUCCCCUGUAUCUCUCCAGCUGGGUGCCUUUUUCGUUCAUGUAAAAGCAUGGCUGUGCAGUUAAGGCACUGAGCUUGGGCUGAGGCAGUGCUAAGUCCACUUUAAUCUACUACAGCCUUCUUUAAUCAUGUCCUAAUUUACGAAAUAGAAAUGAUAAAUAUUUUGUCUUUCUGAUUCUAAACUCUUGGGAUGGCAUUUAUUUCUUAGCCUUAUAAGAACAUUAAGACCUUAUGCGGUGCUACAAAUGAAUUCUGUCUCUUAGAGGGCAGACAUCUAAGCCCUGGGCUGACUGGCGAGGAUUCCUGCCAUCCAGCUUCAGAGCAGGAAUGCCCUGGGAGGGCUUCUUGUCGUUGGCUCUGUGCUGUCUAAUUGCACAGCAAAUAGCAUUGGUGCUUCAGAUAACGUUUUAUUCAAAGCCUUUUAUUUCCAGUUAAAUAAAAGAAGAGUAUAUUUCAGAUUGUCUUCACGUGCCUUCAUGUGAAGAAAGGCAAUGUUUUAGACGUUUUGAAAUUCAAUUCAAGUAAUGAGCAUUCAUUAUAUCUACAUUUUAAAGUGCCAGUUUCCAGCAUCUGCCUAAGAGAAAGUAUAUCUCACUUUUUCUCUCUACCUUUGUUAGUAAUUAUCAUAAUCACAGGGUAACAUCUCAUUUUUUGCAGUUUUGUGUAUUCUCUGAACAAUUCUUACCCGAUUGAGCUUACUGUCCCUGUCUCAUUUAUUUAAUUAAACAUUAAGUCAUUGAACUUUUAGUAUGCCAAGAUUACUAAUGUGGCAAAAUAGUAAUCCAUUAAACAUCCAGACAGUAAAUCUACCACCUACCUCUUUUGACGAGGUUAUAGUAUGCCAUACAAUUAAUUAUUUGAAGCUUGAAAACAAUUUCUGCGAAGUGCAAAAUGGAACUAUUACAUCUCCAUUAAAAGAAGAAAAGUAAUAACUUCUAAAGGUUUAAAAAACCUUUAAGCAAUAUCUGAUGUAUGUCGCUGCUACACAACACCUCCUGUGAAACAUUUCUUGCUUGUAAAGGCAAGAUCAUACCUACUGUUCUGAUAACAGUGAUUUACUGUGCUGUCUGUUUGUCCAUCAGUGCAUCUAUCUGUGAGUUAGCACGUUCCUAAAGCUCUUCACAAAGUUGACUUCCUUUUUCAAGCCAAGAGGUAGAGGUCUAAUAAGCAUCAUAGGAAGCAGCGCACUGCUAAACUGAUGAUGGGUGGAUGAGGGCCGAAGAGUGGCUCUGAAUUAACUUCCUGCUGGCUGAUGUUUCUGGAGGCACUUUCUCAACCACAGCAGAAGUCCGUCGUAAUAGUCAUAGAAUUACAGAUUCAUUAGGAUUGGAAAAGACCACUUCAGAUCAUCGAGUCCAGCCACCAACCCACCACCAUCAUGCCCAUUAUCCAUGUCACUCAGUGCCACAUCUACAUGUUUCUUAAACAUCUCCAGGGAUGGUGACUCCACCACCACUCUGGCAGCCUGUUCCAAUAAGCAUUCCCAAGUGCAUCAUUUUGUAUUUUCUUAUGGUUUUACUGGCCACACUUCAGCUGUUGUCCUCUUUGUGUUAUGCACUUUUGUGCUUAUGUGGCUCUGGUGUUAUCAGAGGAGUAAGACUUUGUUGGUAGUAUUUGAAAAUAUAGUUAGAAAUACUCAACCACUGGAAAAGUUAGGACAAAUCUUGUGAGCAAUAUUGUUAUUUGAAAAGAAUCCCACGAGGCUUUCCUUGGCUGUUUGCCUGUUCAUAGAAAUUAUUACAUGUAUAUGAUAUAGACAUCCAUAAAUACCAGUGAAUAAGUGGGUGAUUAAAAUGAUAAAAUCGUUAUAAAGGUUAUUCAAAUUAUAAAAUCAUUUAUAUUAAGUUACAUAAAUAAAUACUGUUGCAGUCAGAAAGUGAAAAGACUCUUCAUUCAUUUUUCCUGUAAUUCACUUCAGGCUCCAUAAAGAUCCUGAAGGAGAAAAUGCCUUCUUUUAUUUUGCUAAUACCAGUUUGGCCUUUCUGUGAGGGUUUUACAAAGCUAAAGGAGUCACUUCAGUCUAUUGUAAUCCCCUUUUUGUUUCAGAGAAUAUAUCCCAGAUUCUCUGUUCUUUAAGUAUCCAGUAAGACUCUUCUUGUUUGUUUUCAAAGGAAGCGUCCAUAAACCAUUUGAAAACAACAUAAUUAAGGUCCGAGCUGCCUGUGACAUCUCUCACAUGCGUGCCCAGCUGUUCUGUUGGUUUUGCUUGUUAUCAUCCAUCACCAGAUGAUAAAAGAAUAAUUCUGGAGAUACUGAUUGCUUAAUUAAUUGGAGUUCUUUUUUUGUUGUUGUUGCUUUUCUAAGGCUCCUGUUUGUAAUUGUAAUGAAGCAAUAAUAUAAUACAUCCUUUAUGGUCUUAAUGCUGUGGACUUUUCUUUGCCACACGUAAUUAAAAUUCAUGAGGUAGUGGUUUAGAAGAUAUUAGAAGAAGGUUCCUGUGCAGAAAUGUUGUAUACUGCAACAUAAUUAAAUAAAACAGCAAGUCUUUAAAGUUAACUGGUGUACUUCAUUUGGCCAUUUAGCAAUAACUUUCAAAUAGAACUGUGGAUUGCUGAGAGCAGCCUGAUCUUAAAACAAAAGCAUCCCUUUGGAAACAGAUACUAAAUAGUUGUAACUGUAGAGUCAUAGAUUAGUUUGGGUUGGAGGGCACCUAGAAGACCAUCCAGUUCCAACCCCUACCGUGGGCAAGGAUACCUGCUGCUGCAUCUGGUGGCUCAAAACUGCUUCCCUUCCAGGGAAGGGGCACUCAUAAGAAGAAUAAUUUUGUCUUUCAUAAGCAAUUAUAAGUGUAUGAAAGUGUCAUUCUUAACCUGCCAUGAAAGUGUUGAAAAUGUAGUAUGUCCUCUGUGAACUGUGGUGAUUUUCCCAAACCUGAAAAUAUUUUCCCCAGAAUAAUGAAAAAUGUAGUAGAGUAAAAUAUAGUGAAUACUACAAAAUUAAGUGGAUCUUGGCUGUGUUCUGAGGAAAUGUAUUUACUCUUUUACUCAUUUAACAUUGUGGCAGAUCAUGUGGUUAACAAUGAAGAACCACACAGCAAUGAGUCAUCAACUGUUGAGUGGGACAUCACGACAUUUCACUUCACUGUAGAUGUGUGUACUCAAGUGAAGUUUCUUCUUAUCGGAGUGAAAACCAGAGCCAAAAGACUGUCAGCACACUUUCAAGUUUAGAUGGCUGGUUCAUAAAGCAUGCACCCACAUCUUCAGUUUAAGCAGGGACAAUGCAGGCUGUACACUGAAAGAGCAACCUUUUGCAUCAGCUGGAUCAGACUAAAUAGUUGUAUAGGUGGAGAAGAGUCAUGACUGUCAUUUUACCAAUGGCAGUGUGAGAACAGAGAAGCUCAACUCCUUUGAUUUGGCUCAAACAUCUUGCUGAUGUGCACAGAGAAGAAGAUUUCUCAGUCCAAGUGAGAAGCUCAUGGUAUCAUCAUGCUCUUCCCUCCUGUUGACACUGGGCAGCUAGGCAGAAGGUGAAGACUUCUGGCUGAGUACACAUGGGAUCUUGACUCUGCCCUAGCAGGUAGUAGAGCACAAGCUGGGAUGGGUAAUUCUGGUCCUUUUCUACUUUGCGCAGUGAUGAAGUAAUGUAGCCUAACUAGGUCACGCAAUGAGGCUGUGGGAAACAUGGCCAAAGAGGAUCUUCUAUUCCUUGACAGAUACUCUACCAGGAAACUACUGUUACUGCUCAGUACGAAGAGUCUCCACUAGUGUCUUUCUACAGAAGACUCAGCUUGGAUGUCAAGAGAAAGCAGAUUUUCAGGCACAGAUCCUCACUUCUCGAGCCGUCAGGAUGGAAAAACAAGUCACUGGGGCUCUGGAAAGCAGAAUUUUUCCUCUCCCACACACGAGCUGCUUUGUCUGGUGGUUUGGAGGGAAGCGGUGCCCGUGCUUCCCUGCUUUCGUGGAAGGAUGACCUGGCUGUGCUGUCAGACUUGGACCAAGCUCCAGAGACCUUCUUUGGGCUGAAGGGUUUGGCUCUCCAGCCAUGUGAGUGCCAUCAAAUAAGCAGAACUUUGUCUGAGUUGGCUUCACCCUACCCAACGUCAGCACUCUGCUGGUGGGUGUCUCACCCUGCUGCCGUCAGUGCAGAAGGACACGUUGCUGAGGGAUGCCCACCCUGCUUACAGUCACAGAACGACAGAAUACCCCCAGUUGGGAGGGACUCACGGGGAUUACCGAAUCCAACUCCUGGCUCCACACAGCACCACUCAAACCAUAUGUCUGAGAGCACUGUCCAAACCUUUCUUGAAGUCUGCCUUGUCUCAGAGCUCCAACGUAUGAGGGGUUAGCUCGCUGUAAGGUGCCCAUUUCUCUUUUAGGACUCAAGGUCUGGGCAAAUUUUAUUAAAGACACCCCAAAAUCAGGCAUCUUGGGCAGGUCAGUCCCCGCAGCCCCAUCCUGAGAGAAGUUGUCG